Molecule: long non-coding RNA, 7499 nt
Organism: Ictalurus punctatus (channel catfish)
Lineage: Eukaryota; Metazoa; Chordata; Actinopteri; Siluriformes; Ictaluridae
Source: Ensembl
GAAAGGGAUUUUGCUGGGUAUGAUAGUAAAUGAAUGUAUAUGUAAUAACAAACAUGGGGUAGAAAUCUUGAUACAGUAAAGCCUUUAAACUAGAAAAACGAACAGAUCUUGCUUUAUGAUUACAGCUGUUAACAAUACACAUGAAUACACAUCUCUCUCCACAUUAGUAUAAAACUACACCACUAUUAUUAUUAUAAUUAUUAUUACCAUUAUGCCAUUCUAUGAUGUAGACGUUCACUAAUCAUACUAUUGCAGCUUUAACUCUGACUGGCCACGCCCAUCAAUCGUGUAAAGAAAAGAAAAAAACCUGAACGUGAUACUCGUCUCUCCUCAGUCAGAGACGCUGAAAAGUCCGGUUGUGAUCCUUCUCCCUUCAAAAUGGUUCCAGAAUCAAAAACGCUGCUGUUCUUCCCGAUGGUACUCGGGAACACCAUAAAUAUCCAUGUGGAGAUUUUGAGUCGGCUGAGGCAACGUCUACAGCUUCGUGAAGCGUAUGCAGAGAACCACGGUGACGUCAUCAUCGCUUUUGUCCCAGUUGUAUCUCGGGCAGGAACGGACAUUGAAGCUGCUCUUCAGAGGAUCCCGAGAAGUAAGGAGUAAUCUUUUAGUUAAAUGUGGCUAUGUUUAAAAUCACUAAUUACCGUAUUAGAUUAUAUCUGUGGUGGCCUUGGACUACUAGUUGUGAAAGUUACACACUUUCCUGAACUGAAAUAUAUUUCAAUUUUGGUAUCUCAACCAUGAGGAGUAAACUUCUAGCAUUUUAAAGUAAAAUGAGAGACAUUUUCAUUUAAAGAUUUCUUUCCGACUGCUGUGCAGGAGCACGCCGGCAUUUUGCCAGCUGGUACAUGAUUAUAAACUGACUUCAGUGUCUGCUUCACUACAGCACAAAGCUAUUCGACCAUAUUAACCCUGUAAGGAAAUCACACUUAGGUUUUUGGUGAGGCUAGACAGGUUUUAAACUUUCUUUCGGCAGACUGACUGGGUUUACCAGCAAUUCAAAUGUAAAUAAAAACAUUUUCAUGUUUUUUUUUUUUUUUUUGGUAAAAUACAUGUAUGAUUUCUUAUAACUGAGGUGUGGAAAUAUUUUCCCACGCUGAUAUAUAGAGAAGUUGAAUAAAUAGAAUACCAAUAUAGUCUCCUAGUCUUAAUAAGUGAUAUAAUAAUCUAACGUACUAUUAAUUUCUGUAUGAUAGUACAAUGUUCAUCUAUACCAGUUUGCCAUUUUCUCGAAUACCCAAACCCAAUGAGAGAUAGACGCUUAUAACCUAAGGCCAUGUAAUGCUAAAUAAAGGACAUUAGGACCCGGAUAAAACAAGCAGGUUUCUUUAUUUUGUCCGAAUUUCGCGUUGAACUUUCUAGUUUUGAAACAGAUUGUAAUUUGGUGUUUAUACAGCAUACUGCACCUAAACUCAUUGUCUGUAUUGGCUACAUCAAUAUGCUGUCGAAGAUGAGAAUUAGUUUUAUCAUUUAAAAAUAAAAUUGGAAUAGAAAGAGAGAGAAAAACGAAGAAAAUGGCAAAUUGAAAUAGAUAAAUUGAUAAUAGUCACGUUUGGAUAUUGGACCAUUCCUCUUUCUUUCUGACACAAACAAUUCUCCCUCCAUGGUGUUUUCGGAGCAAAUGUGAGUGUUGAUUAUGAACACAACGUUGUCCUGUGAAUCUCGCAUUCUUCCAGCGGGUCAGCCUGUUGUUCUCAUGGUGCUCCACUUCACAUUUGAUGAGAAUUACAUGGCUCCAAACAGCACCUGGAACCUAGACAGGGAUGAUGUAUUUGCUGUGGAUUUGCUCUGUUAUGAAGACAUUGGACUGCUCAGAUCCCAACGCAAUGAUGAGGCAUUGAAAGCUGUCACCGAUCAUCUGAUCUCUAAAGGAGCUUCACCCAAUACCCAGCUACAAACAACCGGAUCACAGACACAGUGUAAUCCACUGGUAUUCAUCUUCUGUUUCAUUUUUGUUAUUUUAAUAGCGAUAGCCAUUGGUGUUGGUUUUUACGUGAAGACAACGGUAAAUCACGAUAAUAAUACUAAUACCACAGGCGGUUGACCAGUAUGAAAUACAUUUGAUUGAUUUCUGUAAAUUAGCUACAGUUAAAUUACUGUAGAAUUUUUUUUUUUUUGGGACGGUUUUAACAAGUAAUGUGCGAACAUUAAACAAUUCUAGUACAACAACAGAAGACUUUCUUGUACAUAACAUCCAUUGUUACAUUUAACGUAUAUUAAAAAUGAAAAGGCAGAACAAAGACACAAGGACCUUAAAGUGUCAGAUAUAUGAUUAUAAAUGUAUAUAUCAGUCUUAUGAAUUAUUUUCUUUUCUUUUUUUCUUUUCCUUUUCUUUUCUUUUUUUUUUUUUUUUUUUACCUUUAAUCAGCAAUAUUUCACAUGCUAGGGCUUAAAUGAAAUGAGUAUUGUGUGACUAUGCAUGUAAGUGACCUGUUAAAUAAAAUGUACAUAGCCUACUACUGUAUGCAUUUCUGUAUGAACAGGCUUUCACAAAAUAUGACUGAGAAUAUAUUACAGAUUUUUCUGUGAAAUAUUCAAUUAAAUAUAUCCACAACAUUAUUUUACAACGUUAUCUAUAUGCUCAUUAUAUGAGAAUUCCUUGGCUCACAAAACAAUAAAGCAAUUAGUAGUAUUAAGGACAGACAGGCAAAUAGUUUACUCAUCUAGUCAUAAAAUUCAUGUAACACUUUUACUUUAUUACCACAGACAUCUGUUUUUCUUUUCUGCCGAUAUAGUUGUGAAAGGAUCUAUCCGAAAAGAGUCGAUUCCCUAAUAGACACUGGGAAUAGUGGUGAGUUGAUGUGUCGUUUACGAAUGAGUGGGCGUUUUAGAUGAACGCUGGGAACCGACUCCUAGGUCUGAAGAGCCGUUUAGAUGAUUCAGUAGCUGAGAAAUAACAGUGGAAAGGCAUUCGAGUGUUUAAUAUUGAGAAUAAAGUCUUGAAGGGCUUAUGUUAAUAUUUCAGUAAGUAAGACGUGAGGAGAAAUUCAGCCGAAUAAAAAAAAACAAUGGAAGAGAUAUAAAGGUGGUCCUACUGAGUCUUGUGAGUCGAUUCAUGUGUAAAAUCGAAAGUGAAACGGAUUCACGAGCACAAACGCUGCAGAUCUGAACACCGUUGUGUCUGACUCCAAGAUGCUGCGAGGUUUGUCAAUCUAUUUUCCUUAUUAAUUAUGAUAGACCUGUGAUAAAUGUAGCACGGUGUUAAAUACGACAAACUGUACAAUAUAUAAGCAUUCAUCUCUUAAUAAUCAACCACUCACAAAUAAUGAUUAUUAUUUCAUCUUGCAGCUGUAACAUAUGCAGAUAUGAUUAUAGGAUAUAGUUAUAGGAUAUAAAUGAUAUUCUCUGUCAUGUGUUCCGUAAUAUUAAUAAAUGACAGGUUUGGUGAAUGCUACACACACACACACACACACACACACACACACACACACACACACACACACACACACACACAAUAAUAAUAAUAAUAAUAAUAAUAAUAAUAAUAAUAAUAACGCCAUGAUUAGUGUGGUUUGGUGUGGUUUAAUAUCGGAUCUAACAUGAAUUUCAUCACGUCAUUUCUUAAGUUGAACAAAUGUUUGCUAGUAACCCGGGUAGCAUCACAUUAAUGUAUACAAGAACAAGAAGACAAGGGUUAAAAUAUAGAAUAAUAUUGUAUUGUAUAGUUUGUAUAGUUGUUGUGUGUACUGAGUUGAUCACUGCUCCAAGUGCACAGUUUAAAUCAAGGGCACAGCUGCUGUGAUAAACAUGUCUUAAAUUUUCCAUGAUGUCAUUUUUAAGGGGAAAAGAGUUUAGAGCUUAAAGGCUUCUGUUAAGAGACAUUCAAUCCCUUAUACCUAACUUAUAUUUAUAUUCACUUUUACAGUCGUUGACAGGGACUUUUAUCCAGAGUGACUUGCCACUGGAGAGCUAUAAAACACAACAAUACCAAAAAAAGGUUUCGUUACAUAUUGAUAUCAUAUAUUCCAAUGAAAAAAGGACAUGGGCCAAGGCGACAAGAGUUCCCCAAGACUGAGGGCAAUUAAAAAUAUUCAUAUUUUUAUUUACAAAAUGGUUUUCAUGAGAGUGAUUUUUUGGGUGUACGUAUUAAAUAAACAGUGCAGUUAUUGUUUGCCUUAUCUUAUAGCAGCAUGUGGGAUGGUGAACUCUGAAAUGGAGGUGAACUUUGAUCAGCUGAUCACCACUUUUGUGUGUGUGUGUGUGUGUGUGUGUGUGUGUGUGUGUGUGUGUGUGUGUGUGUGUGUGUGUGGCUCCUGCUAAAUGCUGUGCAUAACCAAAACUGAAAGUAGUGGGUGAGUCCAUUAGCCGUCUUUAGGGACAGUCUCAAGGAAACAAGGAGCACAAACAACCACAACGAUUCUGAAAGGCUCGUUAUCAGUCUUCCUCCAGAAUGCUUCAAGGAACAAAAACACGCCUUUUCUCAAUCAAUGAAAGUAGGAAAUUCUUGGAUGUCCAAAGUAAGAUUGAGGAACGGUUGAAGAAACGCGUUCAGCUCCAUCAAGUGGAUUCAGAGGAUUAUUGUGAUGUCAUCAUGGCUUUUGUACCCAUUGUGUCCCGGGCUGGAACAGACAUUGAAGCUGCUCUUCGAAAUAUUCCAACAAAUCAGCCUGUCAUCCUCGUGGCGCUCCACCACACGUUUGAUGAAAAUUACAUUGCACCACAGAGCAAAAGGUGUGUGGAUAGGGAUGGUGUAUUUGCUGUAGACUUCCUCUGUCAUGAAGAUAAGGGACUGCUGGAAUGCUUGACCAAUGAGGAGGCACUGAAAUCCGUCAGUGAUUAUCUGGUCUCUAUGGGCCCCAGUACCCCGCUUAUACCAGUUCAUCCACGGCCAUCCCAAAGACGUUGCAUCUAUUUGGGUGUCUCUGCUUUUGUUGUUGUUGUUGUUGUUGUUAUUGGGCUAGUUAUUCCCUUUCUCAUUCCGAAAAGUGACGGACAUGGUGACACUCAAACUACGGUGAUACCUCCUAUAACUGUAACUACACAUCAGUCUAACAUAACUGUAACUACACAUCAGCGUAACAUAACUGAAACUACACAGCAGUCUAAGAUAACUGUAGCUACACAGCAGCGUAAGAAACGAUCCCUUCAGAGAGGCCGAGGCUAAUUCAUUAGUUUGGUGAACACCCAAGACUGUUGUGUUCGUGAUGAAAAGAUGGAGAUGAAACGAGAGUUUAGGAUUUCAGCUUUUAUUUCCUGGUGUUUACAUCUAGACGUGUUAAACAUAAAACAUACAACCUUUUGUAUCAGACCACCCACUUUUUAGGUGAGCAAAAGUAUAGGAACAGAUCAGUCUUGAAGUAAAUGAAAGUAAAUAACACUUAACAUUUGGCUGCGUGUCCCUUGCUUGCAAAAACUCAUCAAACUGCAUCAAUCCUGUGACUCACUGACACUUGUGUUGCUUUUCCAGGUAUUUACUGCAGCUUCUUUCAGUAGUUGUGUGUUUCGGUGGUUUCUCCCUUCAGUCUCCUCUUCAGGAGGUGAGGUGCUGAUCAGUUGGGUGAAGGUCUGGUGAUGGACUUGUCCAGUCUAAAACCUUCCACUUUCCCCCUGAUGAAGUCCUGUGUUGAGGUGGAAGUGUGUUUUGGAUCGUUGUCUUGCUGCAUGAUGAAGUUCCUCUGAUUCAUUCGGAUGGAUUUCUCUGUAAAUCUGCAGACAGAAUGUUCCUGUACAGUUCUGAAUUCAUUCUGCUGCUCCAUCAUGAGUUCAUCAAUAAAGAUUAGUGAGAAUGUUCCAAAAGCAGCCGUGCAAGCCCAAGCCAUGACACUACCUCCACCAUGUUCCACAGAUCAGCUUGUAUGUUCUGGAUCAUGAGCAGAUCCUUUCUUUCUCCACACUUUGGUCUUUCCAUCACUUUGGUAGAGGUUCGUCUUGUUCCAGAACUUUUGUGGAUCAUCUCUGUAUUUCUUUGCCAAUUCCAAUUUGACUUUCUGACUCGUACUGCUGAUGACUGGUUUGCAUCUUGUGGUACGGCCUCGAUAUUUCUGCUCUCGAAGACUUCUUCAAACGGUGGCUUGUGAUGCCUUCAAUUCUGCCCUGUGGAGCUUGUUGGUGAUGUCACUGACAGUUGUUGUUGGGUUUUUCUUCACAGCUCUCUGUCAUCACCUGCUGUUGUUUUCCUUGACUGACCCGUUCAGUGUCUGUUUCUCAGUACACCAGCGGUUUCUUUCAUUUUCAUGACAUUCCAAAUUGUUGUAUUGGCUUUACCCAGUGUUUCUGCAAAGGCUUUGAUUGAUUUUCCCUCUUUCCCCGCUUUAAAAUGGCUCGCUUUUCUCCCCUAGACAGCUCUCCGAUCUUCAUGUUGGCUUAUCCUUUAUAACAACAUAUGCAGUCUUCACAGGUGAAACUGAAGAGUAGAUGUUCAGAGCUAUUUAUUGUUUAAACAGUCGAUCUAACAGGACACGCCUGGGGAACAAGAAACACCCGUCAGUCACGUGUUCCAAUGUUUUUGCUCCCUUACAAAUUGGGUGGUCUGAUACAAACUGUGCUGUUCUGUAUCUAUAUAUAAAUACCAGGAAAUAAAAGCUGAAAUUCUAAACUCUCUUCUCAUAUUGCUCUUUUAAUAUCAAAAACAAAUGUCUUCACUCAACAGUGAAAACAAUUUAAUUGGCCUUGCCGUCCCAAUAUUUUUGCAGGGGGACUGUAACUGUGACUAUAUAGCAGCUUAAUAUAAUGGUAAUAAACAUUAACUUAACAUACUGGCGAAUAAACAGCAGCCUAAUAUAACUCUAAUUAUACAGCAGCCUGACAUAGUGGCAACGAAAUAGCAACGUAAUCUAACUAUAACUGCACAACAAACAUAAAAUAAACACUAAUCUUUCUUCUAAAUACUUUUUAAAAUUUCAUCAAUUCUUUUGAAUCAGCUUCAUUUUCAUUACAGUUAGAACUUUUCCUUUCAAACCUUAUGAGUAUUUUGACAUCAAUCAUUCUGCAAUCAUCCUAACAUAUACUUUAUAUACAUAUAAAGGAUUCUUUGAUUAAUAAAGGUUUCAUGUAGAACCUUACAACAGAGAUUUUCUGUUUCUGAGAGGGUUCUAGGUUGAACCACUGUUAGGGUGUAGUAAAUGAAGAAUUGCUUACACAAAACUAGUAUGACUUGAUAUUACCUUGUAAUUGUUCAUAAGUUUAAGAUUACCUCCACUAUAUUUAAUGUUACUCCACUAUAUUUUGUAGUUUCUAUAUUUAAUGCUUAUUAAAUGCACAGAACAUUAAAAUCGGAAACGAAGUCUGACAAGAAUGUAACAGAAUAUAACAAGACUGAAUCUGUGUGUAAAGACUUCAUGAAUGUUUGUUUCUAAUCAAUAAAAUUCUCAUACGCUUAUGCUAAAUGGUAAUGUGAUGUUUGUGAAAACUAAACUAAUACCACAAGACAAAAAACAAAAAAUCGCCACUUGAGUGCUUACAAUUUCCUCGGGGAUGGUGUUCUAGCAUUCAAUAUGGUCUCUACAACCUCACUUGCAAGACCAGAAUCUAUGAGCUGGUGCCCCUCAGGGGCCAGACCCACG